RNAcentral lists this ribosomal RNA (874 nucleotides) under Mycolicibacterium sp. RNAcentral's name for it is "bacterial SSU rRNA". It matches the Rfam family "Bacterial small subunit ribosomal RNA", at positions 60 to 949 of the family's 1533-position model. Lineage: Bacteria; Bacillati; Actinomycetota; Actinomycetes; Mycobacteriales; Mycobacteriaceae. The record is from RNAcentral.
AGUCGAACGGAAAGGCCCUUCGGGGUACUCGAGUGGCGAACGGGUGAGUAACACGUGGGUGAUCUGCCCUGCACUUCGGGAUAAGCCUGGGAAACUGGGUCUAAUACCGGAUAGGACCAUGGCAUGCAUGUGCUGUGGUGGAAAGCUUUUGCGGUGUGGGAUGGGCCCGCGGCCUAUCAGCUUGUUGGUGAGGUUACGGCUCACCAAGGCGACGACGGGUAGCCGGCCUGAGAGGGUGACCGGCCACACUGGGACUGAGAUACGGCCCAGACUCCUACGGGAGGCAGCAGUGGGGAAUAUUGCACAAUGGGCGCAAGCCUGAUGCAGCGACGCCGCGUGGGGGAUGACGGCCUUCGGGUUGUAAACCUCUUUCAGCACAGACGAAGCGCAAGUGACGGUAUGUGCAGAAGAAGCACCGGCCAACUACGUGCCAGCAGCCGCGGUAAUACGUAGGGUGCGAGCGUUGUCCGGAAUUACUGGGCGUAAAGAGCUCGUAGGUGGUUUGUCGCGUUGUUCGUGAAAACUCACAGCUUAACUGUGGGCGUGCGGGCGAUACGGGCAGACUUGAGUACUGCAGGGGAGACUGGAAUUCCUGGUGUAGCGGUGGAAUGCGCAGAUAUCAGGAGGAACACCGGUGGCGAAGGCGGGUCUCUGGGCAGUAACUGACGCUGAGGAGCGAAAGCGUGGGGAGCGAACAGGAUUAGAUACCCUGGUAGUCCACGCCGUAAACGGUGGGUACUAGGUGUGGGUUUCCUUCCUUGGGAUCCGUGCCGUAGCUAACGCAUUAAGUACCCCGCCUGGGGAGUACGGCCGCAAGGCUAAAACUCAAAGAAAUUGACGGGGGCCCGCACAAGCGGCGGAGCAUGUGGAUUAA